CCCAGACAGCCAGGAUGUUGGCUUAGAAGCAGCCAUCAUUUAAAGAAAGCGUAAUAGCUCACUGGUCGAGUCGGCCUGCGCGGAAGAUGUAACGGGGCUAAACCAUGCACCGAAGCUGCGGCAGCGAACGUAUCACUUAAAGCGAUUCAGCGGGUUACGAUUGACGGAGCGAAGCGACGUCAAAGCGUAUACAAAGUCGAGUCGGUUUAAGGAUACGUUCGUUGGGUAGGGGAGCGUUCUGUAAGCCUGCGAAGGUGGCCUGUGAGGGUUGCUGGAGGUAUCAGAAGUGCGAAUGCUGACAUAAGUAACGAUAAAGCGGGUGAAAAGCCCGCUCGCCGGAAGACCAAGGGUUCCUGUCCAACGUUAAUCGGGGCAGGGUGAGUCGACCCCUAAGGCGAGGCCGAAAGGCGUAGUCGAUGGGAAAC
This 425-nucleotide ribosomal RNA is filed under the name Salmonella enterica subsp. enterica serovar Thompson. RNAcentral's name for it is "bacterial LSU rRNA". It matches the Rfam family "Bacterial large subunit ribosomal RNA", at positions 1084 to 1426 of the family's 2925-position model. The record is from RNAcentral. Lineage: Bacteria; Pseudomonadati; Pseudomonadota; Gammaproteobacteria; Enterobacterales; Enterobacteriaceae.